UAGAAUGAAAUAACGUUGUUCGAAAAGAUAACAACAAUAAAAUAAUAAUCGGAUCGUUCGAUAGGAAGUCGCGUGCUAACUCGAGUAGCUUAGAGGACACUAAAAAAAGAUAAUACGACUAAAGAAGAUUAUGGUUUUUUUUUUUUUUUUUAAUUGAAAAAGAUAUCAAGCAUUUUUAAAUGAAAAUGGUUAACAAAGAAUCCUAGGAAAAAAAAAGAAUUAAAAUUUGUUCCAUGUCAUUAUCAUAGUUCAAAUUAAACCUUGAAAUUAGUAUAAUUUAAAUCUUACUUUAGAAAUGAUCGAACAAUCUACUUUUUAUGCUCGCAUAAUUUUUAACAUUCUAAAAUUAUUCCCGCAAGUAUCCAUUUAUCAUCAUUGAUCAUUUACAGGAGUUUAAUCUAUUUAAAGUAAAAAUUAAAAGAAUUAUUACUAUAUUAUGACAGUGAUCACGUGUUAAUCGUCCGAGUAAUUUGAAGUUUUUAAAUGAAAAUGAUUAAAAAAAAUCGUUUAAAUAUAUAUUAAUAAUCUUUAAAAUUUAUAUUGUUAAAAUUGUUUUUUAUACUCGCGUGAUUUAUAAUAACGAUCUCAAAAGUUUUCCCACAAUUACCACCCACUUCUAUCACCGAUCAAUCUUACAUGGGCUUGAUCCUUAAUCGUAGAGAGAAAAAAGUUAGAACACUGUGGACAUCGUGAUGGUGGUCGCGUGCAUGAUCCAUCGACGCACGUGAUUCCUGAUGUGCAAUCGGAAGGGAAAACGCCUUUCGACGAGCCUACUGAGAAAUUGAUAGCUCAACCGAGUUCACACCACCGACACGUGCUCUACGACUUGGCUGUAAAAGUGCCCUCGUAAUUGAGAUAUCAUGAUCGCUUUCACGCCAACGACAGAUUCUUAAACUAAUUCCGUAACGAAGACACGUGCCAACGGAAUAAGCGAAAAACGAAAGCGACGCUCUGCGGCUAAACGGCAAACAUUACAUGUCGUCCCGAUGUGCGAUAUCAACCACGACACGUGCCGUUCUCCGACGCUUGUCACCGAACGCCUACGCGUGCUAAUAUUUGCGUGAUAAAUUCUCUCCUCUUCUUCGAUGUAUUUUCUACGGAGUGUAAACUCAUCGAUAAUCGGAGAACCCGAUACAAGAACCCGAUCAACUAAAAAACAGAUGGAGUUUUGUAUUAUUACUCUUCAUGAUCCGACGAAAAGUUUAGACUACUUGAUUUGUGUAAAUAUUACUCAUAAACUAAACUACAAGACUUUAAACGAAUGGGAGAAAAAAAAAGAUCGAUAUAUGACGGACAUGAAGUACUAUGUAAGAGAAAGAAAGGAGAAAAUUGUAAAGUUGAUUACACCAGAAAUGCAUUGAUUGAGUGAUUUGUGAUUGUGUUCCGUGUUCCUUGUUCUGUGUUCCCUAUUCUGUUUCUUGCUCUGUGUUCCCUGUUUUGUGUUCUAUGUUCAUACAAAUGGCGUGAUGGAUGCAUGCUUUAUAUAAAUCAAGUAGUCUGUAUUUAAACUCCGAUCGCGGAAAAUAAUUUUAUUUCAUAAAUUUCAGCGGUUCUCAAUUUUCUGAUGCAUAGAUGAUAUUUAAGCACUUUUCCAAAUAAUCGAUCAUAUAGCAGUAAAACAUUUACUUUACACAUUAAAUUCACGUAUGAGCUGAGUCAAUGUGAAUGCGAAUACUUGCUGUAUAUAUUAUACUAUAUUACUUCGUAUACUAUAUGUUCGAUAUGCUUGACGAAGGAAUAUACUAAUAUAUUCUGAUAUAUGAAAUAUAUAUACUGAUACAAUAUAUCAUUUAAUUUAUUUAAUAUAUUCGA
Vespa crabro (European hornet) is the source of this 1812-nucleotide long non-coding RNA. RefSeq lists it as uncharacterized. NCBI's taxonomy places the organism in Eukaryota, Metazoa, Arthropoda, Insecta, Hymenoptera, Vespidae. The record is from RefSeq and is a predicted model, not a curated record. The transcript has 3 exons.